Molecule: long non-coding RNA, 2023 nt
Organism: Gymnodraco acuticeps
Lineage: Eukaryota; Metazoa; Chordata; Actinopteri; Perciformes; Bathydraconidae
Exons: 2
Source: RefSeq, a predicted model, not a curated record
GAGACCGGGGAGGGAGCCCCGAGGAGCAGCGAGCAGCGAGCAGCGAGCAGCACGGGGUGGGACCGGCCAACCGGAUACUCAGAUUGGACCGUUUUUAUAUUCUCUUUUUUAUACGUUUAAACGAUAACACCGGAGUGAACGAGACGCAGAAAGCGACCGUCUGGUUAGGGAGAACUUGCAGGCUUUGAAUCUCGUCGAAACCUCUGGAACUGUCAGAAAAAAAUUGAUUGAGAGUUAAGGUGUGGCUGAGGGUUUCUUUAAGGCUUCUGCACGGAAAAUUGGUACAAAACCGUCUGUUUCUACUCGAGUGUUCAGUGAGGGCUGAGGCUGUUUUUAUAUCCCAAUGGCUUUAUAGAUUAUAUCCAGUCAUUUACAUCUAGGACGAUAUUACAUAACAAACGUAUUGCUAUCCUGACGUGCGCACCUUAUGCUGUAAAUCCAUCGCAGUUGAAUAAUUGGACUAUUACGCAGUAAAUAAGUAAGUCAAGUGUUACUGCUUGGCCGGUCGUUUUGAUUUCAUAAGUUAAAUGCAACGGACGUGGCAACUUUACAGUAGCCGGUCCUGCAGAAUGCCACAAGCAAACUGGGCGUGGGGGAAACGGUCCGAGGAGAGCGUAAUAACCAUCAAAUCUCAUACAAGCAUGGCACAAAUUGCGCAUAUUUGACAUAGUGUAGGCGUUCUUACAAGUGGAGCGGACCAAAGUAAGUGCGACUGUCAAAUUCAUUUUUGCAAACUUUUUAGCGGAGGUGACAUUUGAAGGCCACAGGAGAGGGUGUGCGACGGUGUCAUCUCAAAGCCAUUUGAAUAUGUUGUAUUAAUAUUCCAAUAAUAUGUAUUGUCAGUCUAAACAAAUGAUUUUGAAGGUAUCGUGUUGAUCAGUCGUGGCCUAUCUUUUUUUUCUGUUUGUCUAUGAUACAGUGUAUAUUACUAUACUGGGAUGGGGCGGGUGUGUCUUUCCCGAGGAAAACGUUUAGGCGUUUAAUAAAUCUAAACCCAGCUGAAAAAAGAGUUGGGUCUAUAUUAGCCUACAGUAGUCUGCUCGACUUUACAAAGAACAUCGAGCCGUCGUUCCUCACUCGUUUAUACCACAAUAACUCAAUCAUAAUUGGGUGCACAGGCAAACUGACCCUGUAUAGUCUAAUUAAGAUAAGCUUUAAGUCGAGUAGAUAGGGUGAAUUCCUCAAGGCCCCACCCUUUGUAGCGCAGCAUGGAUGUGGAGAGUUGCCCCCCCCACCACCUCCUCCUCCUCCUCUCUCCCUCCGCGUCAUUCAUUUCCCCUUUCAAGCUUGUCUUAUGCUGUUUUUCCCCUCAGUGUCUCCAGGUGCCCACAGUAGAUCUUCUGGUCUUUAAACCAACUUUAGAUCACCGCAUCAGGAUCUACCUUCAGGAAUCAACAGAGGUGUAAAUUGACUUAGAUGUGCUACACCUGUGCCACUAAACCUGGGUGGCUUGUACCUGUACCAUCUGCUGUGCCAGCUGUGCAGGGAGAGCACGCAUAACAACAUCAGAGAAAGAGAUAAACAGACAGCUGCUGAAAACAGAGAGACGGAGGAGCGUCAUCAAAGGAGCGCUGAGUCAACCAACACACCAUCAAUCAUGAUAUAUUUAUUGUUCGCUUGGCUGUUUUACAGCAUUUAAAAUUCGAAUUUAAGCAAGAUGAUGUAGGAUGCAUUAUUUUUUCGGAUUUAGCGCCCCUACAGUUCCAGAGUGCAGUUCAGUCAUACUCAGUGUCGUAAAUAUGAAGAGCUGUAACGUUAGUGCAUUUGUUGUGAUUAUAUAAGGAUCAGAGACUAUCCAGUCAACAAUUUGUUUAGUACAGCCAAGCAUAGUGCAAGCGCAACAUCACAAGCCAUAGCAACUCAGCAAAUGUUAUUUCCCUAGCUCCACUCCCAUGUAUAUUAUUAUCUGUUUGUUGCAGUCCGUGUAAAACAUGCCUUUUAAUUACAAAUCAUUGUGCUUUUGUCUUUAUUCAUGUUCAGCUUUCUCAAAUAAACAACUUAUUGAUAUCCAUUCCUACAACAA